GUCUUCCUAGGUCUUGUCUUGUGCCCUUCUUGUAGAUCAGUAUAACAUCGGCUAGUUUCCAGUCAGCAAGGAAAGCCUUUUUUAUUUUCUGACACCACACUGGCCACUGUCAUCUCAGGCUGAGCUUUGUUUUCUUCUUGUUUUCUCCCUGCAAAUGUGAACUGCACUCUCUCUGUGAAGCCUGACCUUGUUUCCAAAGAUCAUACAUUUUAUUUUUCUGCCCUAGUUUCAGGAGGUGUUCCCUGUUCAGCCAGGCUGGUCUUCUGCCCUGCUUGCUUGACUCGUGACACAAUGGAAUUGCCAUUACAUUAUGGAUUGCAUUAGUAAAUAUUUCACUAUUUCAUUAUAUUUCUUCAUUUUAAAGCCUGAUUCUUUCUUUCCUCUGUAGAAAAUGAGGAUUCUUUCUUUCCUCUGUCUCUAAAUGGGCAUUAUCUAGUGAGACUUUGCAGUCAUUUGGUUGAUAUGCCAUGGAGUAGGUCAAAGAGCAGGGCUCAGUCACAUCUACAUAGUGUUUACACUAGACUAACUUCUCUAACUUCUCAAUGAGACAUGUAAUGUUAGAGUGGUUGCCUCUGCUUUGAAACUAGCUUCAGAUCCUUUCUGGUUUGUCAUAGACACUUUCCUUUCUGACUCUUGUAAAGACAGAUCUCAAAUGCUGCUUCUUUGUAGACACGGACUGCUCCUAUCUGGAUUUGCUUAUACAGUGCACUGUGAGACUCAUAAGAUUGGAUUUAGGAAUCUAUACCUUUCCAAAGAUUUCAGUUGUGAAGACUUCUUUGUGGGUCUGAUGUAUGCUUGUAAUCACCUUGAAUGUCCCCAGAAUACAUAACAAGAGGAAGCUCAAAAUGAACCGCUGUGAGAGGAAUCCAGCAGCUGCCCCAUGUUAGGUAAGGGCCAGUUUCAGCUGGCUCCAAAGGGAACUGCUGCUGCCCAGAGCUGAGCUGAUAAACAAUGUUGUUUGCACCUCUGUGAGAACAGAUCUAAGAAAGGGAAAACAAAACAAAACAAAAAAACUGCUGCAAAACAACAGCUGGGAGAGUGAGAAGUGAGAAGCAGCCCUGCAGCCCCCAGGUGAGUGCAGCAGGAGGGCAGGAGGUGCUGCAGGCAGGCAGCAGCAGUUCCCCUGCGGGCUGUGCAGGGAGAGGCCCCUGGUGGAGCAGGCUGUCCCCCUGCAGCCCAUGGGUCCCCCAUGGAGCAGAUCUCCAUGCUGAAGCCCCCCCCAUGGGUGGAGGAGCCCCCGGUGGAGCAGGUGGAUGUGGCCUGGAGGAGGCUGCGGCCCAUGGAGAGCCCCCGCAGGAGCAGGCCCCGGGCUGGAGCUGCAGCCUGUAAUACACAAUAAAUGUUUGUUCAUUGUCUUUUGUAUUAUAAAA
This 1370-nucleotide long non-coding RNA is filed under the name Anas platyrhynchos platyrhynchos (common mallard). Its description in RNAcentral is "lncRNA (ENSAPLG00000029399.1)". The record is from RNAcentral. Lineage: Eukaryota; Metazoa; Chordata; Aves; Anseriformes; Anatidae.